Molecule: ribosomal RNA, 250 nt
Filed under: uncultured bacterium
Lineage: Bacteria
Description: partial 16S ribosomal RNA
Rfam family: Bacterial small subunit ribosomal RNA
Source: RNAcentral
UAACUAGCUGUCCGGGUUCAUGGAAUUUGGGUGGCGCAGCUAACGCAUUAAGUUAUCCGCCUGGGGAGUACGGUCGCAAGAUUAAAACUCAAAGGAAUUGACGGGGGCCUGCACAAGCGGUGGAGCAUAUGGUUUAAUUCGAAGCAACGCGCAGAACCUUACCAGCGUUUGACAUCCUCAUCGCGUUUACCAGAGAUGGUUUACUUCAGUUCGGCUGGAUGAGUGACAGGUGCUGCAUGGCUGUCGUCAG